This 717-nucleotide ribosomal RNA is filed under the name Lacticaseibacillus casei. RNAcentral's name for it is "bacterial SSU rRNA". It matches the Rfam family "Bacterial small subunit ribosomal RNA", at positions 715 to 1432 of the family's 1533-position model. The record is from RNAcentral. Lineage: Bacteria; Bacillati; Bacillota; Bacilli; Lactobacillales; Lactobacillaceae.
GCGAAGGCGGCUGUCUGGUCUGUAACUGACGCUGAGGCUCGAAAGCAUGGGUAGCGAACAGGAUUAGAUACCCUGGUAGUCCAUGCCGUAAACGAUGAAUGCUAGGUGUUGGAGGGUUUCCGCCCUUCAGUGCCGCAGCUAACGCAUUAAGCAUUCCGCCUGGGGAGUACGACCGCAAGGUUGAAACUCAAAGGAAUUGACGGGGGCCCGCACAAGCGGUGGAGCAUGUGGUUUAAUUCGAAGCAACGCGAAGAACCUUACCAGGUCUUGACAUCUUUUGAUCACCUGAGAGAUCAGGUUUCCCCUUCGGGGGCAAAAUGACAGGUGGUGCAUGGUUGUCGUCAGCUCGUGUCGUGAGAUGUUGGGUUAAGUCCCGCAACGAGCGCAACCCUUAUGACUAGUUGCCAGCAUUUAGUUGGGCACUCUAGUAAGACUGCCGGUGACAAACCGGAGGAAGGUGGGGAUGACGUCAAAUCAUCAUGCCCCUUAUGACCUGGGCUACACACGUGCUACAAUGGAUGGUACAACGAGUUGCGAGACCGCGAGGUCAAGCUAAUCUCUUAAAGCCAUUCUCAGUUCGGACUGUAGGCUGCAACUCGCCUACACGAAGUCGGAAUCGCUAGUAAUCGCGGAUCAGCACGCCGCGGUGAAUACGUUCCCGGGCCUUGUACACACCGCCCGUCACACCAUGAGAGUUUGUAACACCCGUUAGCCGGU